RNAcentral lists this ribosomal RNA (1465 nucleotides) under uncultured bacterium. Its description in RNAcentral is "partial 16S ribosomal RNA". It matches the Rfam family "Bacterial small subunit ribosomal RNA". The record is from RNAcentral.
AGAGUUUGAUCCUGGCUCAGGAUGAACGCUGGCGGCAUGCCUAAGACAUGCAAGUCGAACGAAGGGACCCAAUGAGAUUUAUAGAAGUUUGGAGAGCUUGCUCAAAGAAUGGAAAUAAAUCAAUUUGGAUUAUCCCUUAGUGGCAAACGGGUGAGUAACACGUGGGUUACCUGCCUUCAAGAUGGGGAUAACAGUUGGAAACGAUUGCUAAUACCGAAUGUGAUCUACGGAUUAAAGAAGCCUUUAAAGCUUCGCUUGAAGAUGGGCCUGCGGUGCAUUAGCUAGUUGGUGAGGUAACGGCCCACCAAGGCGACGAUGCAUAGCCGAACUGAGAGGUUAAUCGGCCACAUUGGGACUGAGACACGGCCCAAACUCCUACGGGAGACAGCAGUUAGGAAUAUUCGUCAAUGGGGGAAACCCUGAACGAGCAAUGCCGCGUGAGUGAUGACGGUCCUCUGGAUUGUAAAACUCUGUUGUUUGGAAAGAACUGUAAGAAGAGGAAAUGCUUCUUACUUGACGGUACCAUUCAAGAAAGCCACGGCUAACUACGUGCCAGCAGCCGCGGUAAUACGUAGGUGGCGAGCGUUAUCCGGAUUUAUUGGGCGUAAAGCGUCCGCAGCCGGUUUAUUAAGUCUAGAAUAAAAGCCUGGAGCUUAACUCCAGUUCGUUCUAGAAACUGAUAUACUUGAGUGUAGUAGAGGCAAAUGGAAUUUCUAGUGUAGCGGUAAAAUGCGUAGAUAUUAGAAGGAACACCAGUGGCGAAGGCGAUUUGCUAGGCUAUUACUGACGGUCAGGGACGAAAGCGUGGGGAGCAAAUAGGAUUAGAUACCCCUAGUAGUCCACGCUGUAAACGAUGAGUACUAAAGUUCGGGGUUACCGGGUGCUGAAGUUAACACAUUUAAGUACUCCCGCCUGAAGUAGUACCGGUCCGCAAGGCUUGAAACUCCAAAAGGAAUUGGACGGGGAACCCGCACAAACCGGUGGGAGCAUGGCUGUUUAAUUCCGCAAUAACGCGAAAGAACCUUACCUAAACUUUGAAAUCCCCCGCGAAACUAUUAGAAAAUAAAUUGGGAGGUUUACCCCGGUGGACAAAAAGGUGCAAGGGUUGUCUUCCACUCCCUGCCUCCGAAGAGUAUAUGUGUUAAUUUCAACAAACAGAGGGAAACCCCUCGCCUUCAUUUUUUUAAACAUUAAAUUUGGAGCACUCUUUAAGAUACUGCCAGUGCAAGCUGGAGGAAGGUGAGGAUGACGUCAAAUCAUCAUGCCUCUUACGUCUAGGGCUACAGGCGUGCUACAAUGGCCGAUACAACGAGAAGCAAUACGGCGACGUAAAGCAAAACUCUAAAAGUCGGUCCCAGUUCGGAUUGGAGUCUGCAACUCGACUCCAUGAAGUUGGAAUCGCUAGUAAUCCCGAAUCAGAAUGUCGGGGUGAAUACGUUCCCGGGUGUUGUACACACCGCCCGUC